GAUGAACGCUGGCGGCGUGCCUAAUACAUGCAAGUCGAGCGAGCGGACGAGAAGCUUGCUUCUCUGAUGUUAGCGGCGGACGGGUGAGUAACACGUGGAUAACCUACCUAUAAGACUGGGAUAACUUCGGGAAACCGGAGCUAAUACCGGAUAAUAUUUUGAACCGCAUGGUUCAAAAGUGAAAGACGGUCUUGCUGUCACUUAUAGAUGGAUCCGCGCUGCAUUAGCUAGUUGGUAAGGUAACGGCUUACCAAGGCAACGAUGCAUAGCCGACCUGAGAGGGGGGUCGGCCACCCUGGAACUGGGACCAGGUCCAGACUCCUACGGGGGGCAGCAGUAGGGAAUCUUCCGAAAGGGGCGAAAGCCUGACGGAGCAACGCCGCGUGAGUGAUGAAGGUCUUCGGAUCGUAAAACUCUUUUAUUAGGGAAGAACAUAUGUGUAAGUAACUGUGCACAUCUUGACGGUACCUAAUCAGAAAGCCCCGGCAAACUACGU
RNAcentral lists this ribosomal RNA (496 nucleotides) under uncultured bacterium. Its description in RNAcentral is "partial 16S ribosomal RNA". It matches the Rfam family "Bacterial small subunit ribosomal RNA", at positions 28 to 506 of the family's 1533-position model. The record is from RNAcentral.